ACACGUAUGAAAGUCAAGCUGAAAGACUUUACUCAAUGAUGUAAGUGGUGGUGCAUGGUCGUUCGUAGUUCGUGGAUUGAUUUGUCUGGUCUAUUCCGAUAACGAGCGAGACCCCAACGUUCCUAAUAGGGGUAACAGCCCGGUGGCCGCAAGGUCACUAGCAGUUGCCUAAGAUUUUGCUUCUUAGACGUAUCAGAGCCGAUAAGGUUCUUGAAAUGGGUUAAUAACAGGUCAGUCAUGCCCUUAGAUGUUCUGGGCCGCACGCGCGUUACAAUGGCAUGUAAAGCAAGUGCUGCAAAAGGUGUCCCCGGGGCCGAAAGGUCCUGGUAACCCUUAGUCCCUGCCUUGACUGGGACAGAUCUUUGCAAUUAUUGGUCUCAAACGAGGAAUUUUUAGUAAUCGCAGGUCAUUAACCUGCGAUGA
RNAcentral lists this ribosomal RNA (423 nucleotides) under Craterium aureum. RNAcentral's name for it is "SSU rRNA". It matches the Rfam family "Eukaryotic small subunit ribosomal RNA", at positions 1230 to 1644 of the family's 1831-position model. The record is from RNAcentral. Lineage: Eukaryota; Evosea; Eumycetozoa; Physariida; Physaraceae.